AUGACUAACAGGUGGACUAUUAACAGUUUUAGGCUGAACAUUGGGUUUCAUCAAAAUCAGUCAAGUCAGAAUAAUGGGUCCCAAUUUCCUUGUAUGUCCUGUUGCAGUUUGCGCCUGUUCGUAUUCCAGCUCCUGAACUAUGGAUUCAGGCUGCCUGCGUUAGCGACGUUCCUCUGGAACAAUCAAAACGUGCGCUCCUGCGAGCAGAGGGGAGCGAGACUCGUGCCCAUGCGUACGGCCUGAGUCAAACGGCGGAGAAAGGCCUGUUCAGUGUCGCGUGCAAGCAGGACGUGGGAUGGCAUUGCCUGGACAGAAUGUGGGCAUGUUAGGCUUGUGUUUUAUAGCUGUGGCAUUCAGUCCCCUUUUUUCAAAAUACCAACUUGCUUACUAAGGUGUUUUUUUCCUGUUAGUUUACCGAGGACGUAUUUUUGGAUUAAACAUGCUCUCUUAAAACUUUGGUUAUAUUCAUUUUAAAGUUCAGUUACUAGUGGGUUUUUUUGAACAUGGAAUCUGGACCUACAAAGGGCCAAAACUACAAAAACGUUGAUUUCUUUGGAAGUUUACAUUAGGAUGUUGCUAGUUUUAGUGAACUUAUCACCACAUAAUUCUUGUCUAGGCUUUAUUUAUUUAUUUAAGCUACAGCUUCUUGAAUGGUCACCUGAGUACCUCACUAACUGCUAAAAAAAAAAAAAAAGAGAGAGAGAGAGAAAACCUANNNNNNNNNNNNNNNNNNNNNNNNNNNNNNNNNNNNNNNNNNNNNNNNNNUUUUGAACUGUUGAAAUCCUGUGAUUUCUAGAUCAGUCAUAAGCUACCUGAGAUGUACGUUUUUCCCUUUUUAGAGAAUCUGAAACUGCAUUGGGAGAAACUAAAUUUCCUUUACCAGGUCAGAAAAUGACCCAGAAAUUUCAGGUGAUCUUGACAGAACACAUUUGAGUGAUUUGAAAAGAGAAGUAGACAAAACAUUUUAACACAGAUGAAAAUCUUUGCCAAAUUAGUUUUUGUUCAUCCCUGAGACUUCUUAGAAAGAAGGAAUUAAGAGAUUCUGUGCCAAAAAACCCACCCAAAUCCUGUUUCUGUGUAUCUUUCUAAGUAGGUAUAUAUGAUAGGUUUUAAUAAUCACUUAUAACAUUUGCAUUAAAAAUUCUUUUAGGUUUCUUGUUGUUAUUCCGAGAAUACCAUUUUUAAGGCACCAAUCACUCUCUUCAGAUUGCGCCUGCCUUCAAUCAGUGGUGCAUCUGAUCUCAUUAUAAUUAUCUUAUCAUUUAGAUUAAUCAGUAUUUUGCAGUCUCAGUUGAUUAGGAAAUUACAAGUUGAACACAGUAUUCCUAGUAAAAAUACAAACUCAGUGUUGAAUAAAAGAAUGCUGGAGAACA
Molecule: long non-coding RNA, 1373 nt
Filed under: Apteryx haastii (Great spotted kiwi)
Lineage: Eukaryota; Metazoa; Chordata; Aves; Apterygiformes; Apterygidae
Description: lncRNA (ENSAHAG00000010010.1)
Source: RNAcentral